This 348-nucleotide ribosomal RNA is filed under the name uncultured Actinospica sp. RNAcentral describes it as "bacterial SSU rRNA". It matches the Rfam family "Bacterial small subunit ribosomal RNA", at positions 555 to 899 of the family's 1533-position model. The record is from RNAcentral. Lineage: Bacteria; Bacillati; Actinomycetota; Actinomycetes; Catenulisporales; Actinospicaceae.
UGGGCGUAAAGGGCUCGUAGGCGGCGUGUCGCGUCGGAAGUGAAAGCCCGCUGCUUAACCGUGGGUCUGCUUCCGGUACGGGCAGGCUGGAGUAUGGCAGGGGAGACUGGAAUUCCUGGUGUAGCGGUGGAAUGCGCAGAUAUCAGGAGGAACACCGGUGGCGAAGGCGGCUCUCUGGGCCAUUACUGACGCUGAGGAGCGAAAGCGUGGGGAGCGAACAGGAUUAGAUACCCUGGUAGUCCACGCCGUAAACGUUGGGCGCUAGGUGUGGGGACUGUUUCCACGGUCUCCGUGCCGGAGCUAACGCAUUAAGCGCCCCGCCUGGGGAGUACGGCCGCAAGGCUAAAA